Molecule: long non-coding RNA, 5339 nt
Organism: Cherax quadricarinatus
Lineage: Eukaryota; Metazoa; Arthropoda; Malacostraca; Decapoda; Parastacidae
Source: RefSeq, a predicted model, not a curated record
GUUAAUAGUUGAGCCUCGGUGCUGUACCAAGCUUCCUGAGGGUGAAGGCAAGCCCUUGAAGAUUUGGAUACAGUUCAUAUGGUACUGUUGCUCCUCAGAGAUUACGUGUGGAAAUUUUAACUCUAUUCUUAGUCGAGGUUUCAAGAAACUUGGAGCUUUUGUUCAUCUGUCCACCCAAGAUGUGCCCCAGUUGUAAGAGUAUGAAAUAUUAAGAAAUUGGUUUACUGGCCUUUGAAAAACUUUUACACAAUUCAGAAACUUGAAAAUGGAAGGUUUUGGAAAAUGUACUAUGUGUUUUCCCAUUUAUUUCUUGAUAAAUGUGAAGAUAACCUUCAUUGUUAUUGAUAGAUAAGGCCUAUUUCCAUAUUAACCCUUUGUCAAAAUGUAGAUCUAUGUUCCAUUUUUCCUACCUUCAAAUUUCGCAUUAUAGGUCUUAAUAUUCAGUGAGCACAGUACUAAAAAAAAAAAAAAUACCUGGAACCACCAGCUAAUGCAAACAGGGAUUCACUAAUGCUAUGUCAUAUUAACACUCCUUUUAGGAGGCAAGUGAUGUUAACCAAGAGUUUAGUAGCUCUAAGAUGUAUGUGGCCACAAGUGGUUGAGGACAUACAUAAAAAAAAAAAAAAAUAGAUAACCCAUGUGCAACAUUUGUGCCACAUCCAUUCAAUUUUGACACCACUGGUAGUCAUCCUGCCAGGAUGUCCUAUCACCUAUGCCCCAAGAGAAAGUAUUCUGCAAUGUAUGUUCGGCUGGGUGGGUGGGUGUCUGGCCAGCCUAGCUUAUGAACCCGAUAGUCAACUAGACUUUUGAACAGGUACUACACAGGUUGCAGAAUCAUCAUAUCUGCACAAGUGGAAACAUACAACCAUGGCCAAAAUGUGUAUUACUCACCUCAACUAUGCUUAUGCCUCGUAUCAACAAGCACAGUUUAGCAUUUUUUUUUUUUUGGGGGGGGGGGGGGAGGAUCCUAGGUAAUAUACACUAACUACUUAUGUGUACCUGUGCCUUAAAUGUAAUCAUUCUGUUCAAGGGAUGCCUGUCCUUCAAAAAAUAUAUACCAAGCCAACAUAAUUGCUUGAAUGACAGGCAUUCCUUUAAUAGAAUCAAGGACUAAGUAACUAUACACACAAGUACAGUUUUCAUAGUGUAAAUUACCCAAGAUAACCCAAAUAAAGCCUAAGUGCUAUACUGUGAUUGUAGAUAUAAGGCAUAUAAGCAUUACUGUGGCAAGUAGUACACAUUUUGGCUUGUUGUACAUUUCCACUUGUACAGAUAUGACGAUUCUUCAAUUUGUGUAAUACCUGUUCGAAAAUCUAGCUUACGAUCAGGUUCAUGAGUGGCUCUCUAUGAGAGAGACAGGUAGGUAGACAGCAAUAGACAAAGACAGUUACUUUUGUGGGUGGAACAGUGAGAAAAAAAAAUAGAAAACAUGCCAAGGUUCACAGGGGGUAGUGUUGAUGGUGCAGCUGUGUUGAGUGAUGGCACCAUAAUUUCAAGUGCCACUCUGGCACUGCUUCAAGGUGUUUCUUAUACUCCAGCACUUCUAAAGACAUUGCUGGGACCUAUAAAUUUGUAUAUAAAAAAUUUCUAGAUAAUAGUACGUGACUGAGGAAGGUGAACACGUUCACUUGUCAAUGUGUUUGUGACUGGUUACUUAAUACAGUGGAACCUCGGUUAUCAAUUCAUUCCAGAAAGUCUGACGAAAACAGAAGCAAAAUUUCCCAUAAGAAAUAAUGUAAAUCCAAUUAAUCUGUUCCAGACACCCAAAAAUUAACAAAAAAUACAUUUUAUAGAGAAUAACUAUAGCUUUACAUACAGAAAACAAUGAGAAAUAUAAAGGACUAAUAAAAUGGAUAAAUGAACAUUCAACAUCACUUUUACCUUUAUUGAAGACUUGUUGGCGUAUGGAAGACCCGAGGAGGAAGCGGUUAUUGGCUGGAAGGGGAAUCCCCCUCCAUAAGGAUUUCGAGUAUCAAGUCCCUAUCUGGGGUUACUUCUCUUCUUUGUCUUUUACUAGCACUGGACCCCUGUCGCAUAAAAAAAAAAAAAAAAAAUGUCCAGAGAGGUCUGUUUCUGGCAUCUCUAAGAUUUGCCUAAAAUGGGAUGAGGCACCGUCAUUGAACGUGUUGCAGCAGCUUUGUUAGGGUGAUAUUUCUCUACAAAACUUUGCAACUCACUCCACUUUGCACACAUCCUUAAUCACUGAAGAAGGCACAUUCUCCCCUCUCUUCCUCCUCCUCUGAAGCAAUUUCCUCAGCUGCAAUCUGUUGCUGUUCCAGUUGAAGGUGUUGCAGCUCUUCAGUGGUUAGCUCUUCCCUGUGGUCAUCCACCAACUCUUUCACAUCCAACCCUAAAGGACUUCCCCCAAAACCCAAUGGUGGCUUAUUUAGCAGUCGCACUCAAACAAGCACAAAAAACAAUGAUUACAAAAUGUUUCAGAUACACACAGUAAUACUCACUUGACUAGAAACAAAGCCAGACUGACUCAGAACGCAUGGGAUGCUUUGUGUGGGUGAGGGAAGGCGGACACAUUCGGUACAGCAGACCAAUGAAAACCAAGGUGAACGAAAACUGGGACAAAAUUUUGACAAGUCAUCAAAAACCAGAUUCCACUGUGUGUAAGAACAAAGAUUGCCUCUAUCACAAGAUUACUAUAAAUUGUAAUUAUCAAAACAAAAAAAAUCUGCAAGCAGCAGGACUUUGCCACAUAUCUUGAUAAUGCUAGUACUUAAAAAAAAAAAAAAAUUAAACUAUUCAGAGUGAUAGCAGUAAACACGUAGAUCUAUAUUUGGACAGUUAAAGGGUUAAUGGUGCCAAACAGGACUACAAAUUUGAACUGAUAAGAAUCCUGAAGAUUUACUCCAAAAGUCCUUAAGUUGGGUAACAUGCCAGAAUUGUCAUGCAAUAUUAAAGACAAUAGUUCGAAGAAAGAGUAAUCUCUUGGUUCAGUAAUGUUUUGUGCAAAUUUGUUCCCCAGUUAUGUUUGAGAGUUCUUGAAGCCAUAUGUACAAGAGCACUUCCUGAAACACUACCUCAAUAUCAGGAUCAUUCAAGCCAUCAUUGUUAUCCAACAUAACGUGCAAUUUAAAUGCAGACCUAUAAUAAUGUGUAGAGUACAAAACUCCAAUGUAUUCACAGUGAAUAAACAGUUAACAUUAAAUACAUUUUUCUAAAGCUUUUCAGAUGGUUUUGUAUUCUUUUCAAAUGCAUCUGCCUGCCAGUGAAUAGAUGCAUGUUCUCUUAAACUCACUCCAAUUCCCAAAAUGCACUUUUCAUCUCCAUUCCAGUAACUAGUCAGAACAGACAGCUAGGCUGUGUGUUCUGACAGUCCUUAUGGCAUAUUUAACCCCUUGACUGUCACAAUCCCCAAUCCUGAGGUGUCUCCUGGUGUCACAAAAUAUACAAAAAAAAAAUGUUUUUUUCUUAUGAAAUGAUAGAAUCUUUUCCCAAUUGUAAUGACACCAAAAGAAUGAAAUUUGAUGGAAAACUGAUGGAAUUACGCUCUCGCGAAGUUAGCAGCCUCGGCAAUAUUUACUAAUCUGAGAUUUCGCCCACAUUGAGCCCUAUUUUCAGCUAAUUCCAUUGUUCCAGUCGACCAAACUCAUAGCUAUUUCUUUAGAACUCCAUUUUUUCUAUCGAUUGAGUAUAAGAAACUGCCCAUUUACCAAUUUCAACUACCCAAUAACGUGGUCAGAAAUUUGCAAUUUGGCCAAUUUCACGAAAAUUAAUAAAAAAUAUGACAAUUUCAAAAUAGGGUCCAGAAUGAACAAUGCAGACAUUCCUGGCUCUAAAAUAACAUUUUCUUUGUUCAUCAGUCAUGUCUCCAGGCCCCUCUGAAAUUACUCUUGCUUUCUAUUUUGAAUUUUUAUUCAAACAAGAAAUAGAAGAUUUACUGUUAUGCAGACUACUGCAAUAUUGUAAUAAUUGUAUAAAUAAUGUCAACCCAUUCAUGACUGCAUAUUAGAAUGGCUACUUGGACAUUUAUUGGAAAAUGACAUCAUUUGUUUACUUUUGACCAUCGGCAAAAAUCAAACAACUCCCCUACUUUGAGCUCCAUUUCAAGGUUCUUUUCAUAGUAAAAUCAAUCAAAAUUACCUCUUUUUCUAUAAUAUGUUUUCCAUUCUAUUAAAUGAGACCAAGAAAACGAGAAUACAACCAUAAAUACUAUACUAAAAUAGACCACAAAGUCGGCAUUUUAAUUAAAAAAAAAAACGGUAGGAGUUUUUUUUUUUUCUCAUUAUGCACUGCUUACUGCAAGAUUUUUUUUAGAUGGUGCACACUGACCACACAGACCCAUUCUCUCACAUGUGGGCCUACCAGCUUUCUCCUGCUUGAUUUGAAGCCGCUAGAAUUUAUGAGUAUAUAUACAUCAAACACAGUGCUCGUAAGGCGUAUACAUACGACCUAAAUAGUCAAAGGGUUAACCCUAAACUUAUAACCAAUGGGUGGAACAUUAAGCAAAUACUCUACAGCACAAAAUCCUAUUAACCUUAUUCAAACAUCUUUUACCAUUACAUAAUAUGUCCCGAUGUUGGUAAAGGGUUUUUGAUCCAAGGAACUGGAAUUACCCUCUCCUUCCUCAGAUCAAUCCUAAUUAUCUACCACCCCAGCCUCUAAUUCCCACAGGUUUAAUACGUAAUGAUUCGAAAUGUAAUCAAAUUUAUUUUCCUUACCUCAGGGAUCCUUGACCCAAAAGAAUGGCCCUAUCUUUCCCUUCCCUUGAUCAAAUCUGAUUUCCUAAUUCCCCAUGUGCUGUAUAAGUCCCUGUGUGUUGAGCACUUCCAAUUAUAGUAUAAAUGAUCCCUCUUUUUGUACUAAAAUGUGGGUUGAAUAUUUGUUUUGAGAUUACCUGAAAGCAUUGAAACUUAGCUAUUUUAACACAUCGGCCGAUUCCCACCAAGGCGGGGUGGCCCGAAAAAGAAAAACUUUCUUCAUUCACCCCAUCACUGUCUUGUCAGAGGGGUGCUUUACACUACAGUUAUAAAACUGCAAUAUUAACACCCCUCCUUCAGAGUGUAGACACUGUACUUCCCAUCUCCAGGCAAAGUCCAGCCUGCUGGUUUCCCUGAAUCCCUUCAUAAAUGUUGCUUUUUCUCACACUUUCAACAGUAUGUCAAGUAUUAAAAAACCAUUUGUCUCCAUUCACUCCUAUCAAAUACGCUCACGUACACUUGCUUGGAAAUCCAAGCCCUCGCUUGGACUUCCAGCAAGCUUCAAUAAUUACAACUUAAUCUCAACAAUCCCCCCUAAAAAAUGAAAACCUGAUAUUAAGCAUAUGUGCACCAUAGUUUGUGUAAUUUCAUGAAUAUUGAAAUGCUACAUGCAAUAGCCUCCUGAAA